UCCGUGCCAGCAGCCGCGGUUAUACGGAGGAUCCAAGCGUUAUCCGGAUUUAUUGGGUUUAAAGGGUGCGUAGGCGGCUUAUUAAGUCAGGGGUGAAAGACGGUGGCUCAACCAUCGCAGUGCCCUUGAUACUGAUGAGCUUGAAUACACUAGAGGUAGGCGGAAUGUGACAAGUAGCGGUGUAAUGCAUAGAUAUGUCACAGAACACCGAUUGCGAAGGCAGCUUACUAUGGUGUCAUUGACGCUGAGGCACGAAAGCGUGGGGAUCAAACAGGAUUAGAUACCCAGGUAGUCCACGCCCUAAACGAUGAAUACUCGCUGUUAGCGAUACACAGUUAGCGGCUAAGCGAAAGCGUUAAGUAUUCCACCUGGGGAGUACGGUCGCAAGAUUGAAACUCAAAGGAAUUGACGGGGGCCCGCACAAGCGGAGGAGCAUGUGGUUUAAUUCGAUGAUACGCGAGGAACCUUACCCGGGCUUGAAAGUUAGUGAAUCAUUUAGAGAUAGAUGAGUGAGCAAUCACACGAAACUAGGUGCUGCAUGGCUGUCGUCAGCUCGUGCCGUGAGGUGUUGGGUUAAGUCCCGCAACGAGCGCAACCCCUAUGUUUAGUUGCCAGCACGUUAAGGUGGGGACUCUAAACAGACUGCCUGUGCAAACAGAGAGGAAGGAGGGGACGACGUCAAGUCAUCAUGGCCCUUACGUCCGGGGCUACACACGUGCUACAAUGGAUGGUACAGAGGGCAGCAAGCUGGCAACAGCAAGCAAAUCUCAAAAAGCCAUUCACAGUUCGGAUAGAGGUCUGCAACUCGACCUCUUGAAGUUGGAUUCGCUAGUAAUCGCGUAUCAGCAAUGACGCGGUGAAUACGUUCCCGGGCCUUGUACACACCGCCCGUCAAGCCAUGGAAGUUGGGGGUACCUAAAGUAUGUAACCGCAAGGAGCUCCCUAGG
RNAcentral lists this ribosomal RNA (947 nucleotides) under uncultured bacterium. Its description in RNAcentral is "bacterial SSU rRNA". It matches the Rfam family "Bacterial small subunit ribosomal RNA", at positions 502 to 1461 of the family's 1533-position model. The record is from RNAcentral.